CGGGCGACGCGCCGGUCUAAGUCCCUUGGAACGGGGCGUCAUAGAGGGUGAGAAUCCCGUAUGUGACCGGGGACCGAGCCCAUGUGAAACUCCUUCGACGAGUCGAGUUGUUUGGGAAUGCAGCUCAAAAUGGGUGGUAAAUUUCAUCUAAAGCUAAAUACCGGCCAGAGACCGAUAGCGCACAAGUAGAGUGAUCGAAAGAUGAAAAGCACUUUGGAAAGAGAGUCAAACAGUACGUGAAAUUGUUGAAAGGGAAGCGCUUGCAACCAGACCUGCCCGCGGGCGAUCAGCCGUCCUUCUGGGCGGUGCACUCGCCCGUGAUCAGGCCAGCAUCGGUUCGGGCGGCCGGAGAAAGGCCUUGGGAACGUAGCUCCUCUCGGGAAGUGUUAUAGCCCUCGGCGCAAUGCGGCCAGCCCGGACCGAGGACCGCGCUUCGGCUAGGAUGCUGGCGUAAUGGUUGUAAGCGGCCCGUCUUGAAACACGGACCAAGGAGUCUAACAUCUAUGCGAGUGUUUGGGUGUCAAACCCAUACGCGUAAUGAAAGUGAACGGAGGUGGGAACCCCUCGGGGCGCACCAUCGACCGAUCCAGAUGUCUUCGGAUGGAUUUGAGUACGAGCAUAGCUGUUGGGACCCGAAAGAUGGUGAACUAUGCCUGAAUAGGGUGAAGCCAGAGGAAACUCUGGUGGAGGCUCGCAGCGGUUCUGACGUGCAAAUCGAUCGUCAAAUUUGGGCAUAGGGGC
This 741-nucleotide ribosomal RNA is filed under the name Teuvoahtiana rugulosa. RNAcentral describes it as "eukaryotic LSU rRNA". It matches the Rfam family "Eukaryotic large subunit ribosomal RNA", at positions 165 to 924 of the family's 3401-position model. Lineage: Eukaryota; Fungi; Ascomycota; Lecanoromycetes; Teloschistales; Teloschistaceae. The record is from RNAcentral.